CGCUUCUUCAGUUGUUCGUAUCCUUUUAGAAACCCCAUGACGACCUCUACCACCACCACGGCUCCGUCUCCCAGCCAUUAGCACCAACAACACCAAUACGAGAAAAACGUCAUUUUUCCUAUACAAAAAUUAACCUCGCAUGAACAAAAUCUUGAAAAAAUCUGUAAAAAUUGCGAAAAAAUUUCUAAUAACAUUAGAAUGCAU
This 204-nucleotide long non-coding RNA is filed under the name Ananas comosus (pineapple). Its description in RNAcentral is "long non-coding RNA (ACOM_LNC041620)". Lineage: Eukaryota; Viridiplantae; Streptophyta; Magnoliopsida; Poales; Bromeliaceae. The record is from RNAcentral.